AUGAACGCUGGCGGCGUGCCUAAUACAUGCAAGUCGAGCGAACGGACGAGAAGCUUGCUUUUCUGAUGUUAGCGGCGGACGGGUGAGUAACACGUGGAUAACCUACCUAUAAGACUGGGAUAACUUCGGGAAACCGGAGCUAAUACCGGAUAAUAUUUUGAACCGCAUGGUUCAAAAGUGAAAGACGGUCUUGCUGUCACUUAUAGAUGGAUCCGCGCUGCAUUAGCUAGUUGGUAAGGUAACGGCUUACCAAGGCAACGAUGCAUAGCCGACCUGAGAGGGUGAUCGGCCACACUGGAACUGAGACACGGUCCAGACUCCUACGGGAGGCAGCAGUAGGGAAUCUUCCGCAAUGGGCGAAAGCCUGACGGAGCAACGCCGCGUGAGCGAUGAAGGUCUUCGGAUCGUAAAACUCUGUUAUUAGGGAAGAACAUAUGUGUAAGUAACUGUGCACAUCUUGACGGUACCUAAUCAGAAAGCCACGGCUAACUACGUG
Molecule: ribosomal RNA, 496 nt
Filed under: uncultured bacterium
Lineage: Bacteria
Description: partial 16S ribosomal RNA
Rfam family: Bacterial small subunit ribosomal RNA
Source: RNAcentral